Molecule: ribosomal RNA, 996 nt
Filed under: Odorrana kweichowensis
Lineage: Eukaryota; Metazoa; Chordata; Amphibia; Anura; Ranidae
Description: partial 16S ribosomal RNA
Rfam family: Bacterial large subunit ribosomal RNA
Source: RNAcentral
CUCUGCCUUAAGUUUUUUUAUUUCGCCAAACAGACCCAAAAGCUUAAGAGUUAUUCAAAUUAGGCACAGCUUAUUUGAAAUAGGAUACAACCUCCCCCAUUGGGUAAGCAAGGGUAAUAAAAACAAAGUGGGCCCAAAAGCAGCCACCUUUAAAAAAGCGUCAAAGCUUAAUUAUUCUAACCCAUAAUCUCUCAGAUAUCCUCCAACCCAUCACCCCUACUGAACUAUUUUAUACCCCUAUAAAAAUAAUUAUGCUAGAACUAGUAACAAGAAGUAGCCCUUCUCCAUAAUGUAAGCAUAAACCAAAAUGGACACUCCAUUGGUAAUUAACGUAAAUGCAAAACCAUAAUAACACAGCCAGAAAACCUUAUGGCCUCCUACACGUUACCCUAACACCAGAACAUUACAGGAAAGAUUAAAAGAAGGAGAAGGAACUCGGCAAAUUUUAACCCCGCCUGUUUACCAAAAACAUCGCCUCUUGAUUAAACAUAAGAGGUCCAGCCUGCCCAGUGAAAAUAUUUAACGGCCGCGGUAUACUAACCGUGCGAAGGUAGCAUAAUCACUUGUUCUUUAAAUGGGGACUCGUAUCAACGGCAUCACGAGGGUUAUACUGUCUCCUCUCUCUAAUCAGUGAAACUGAUCCUCCCGUGAAGAAGCGGGGAUUUAAUUAUAAGACGAGAAGACCCCAUGGAGCUUUAAACCCGAUAUACACCUCACACUCAAACACCAACUUAACCUUAAAGGCCUGUACAUCGGUUUUAGGCUGGGGGGGCCACGGAGUAAAACUAAACCUCCAUAACAAACGGACUAACACCCUAAUCCACGAUUUAUAAAUCUAAGAAUCACCAAAAUGAUGUUUAAUGACCCGAUAAUUCGAUCAAUGAACCAAGUUACCCUGGGGAUAACAGCGCAAUCCACUUCAAGAGCCCUUAUCGACAAGUGGGUUUACGACCUCGAUGUUGGAUCAGGGUAUCCUAGUGGUGCAACCGCUACUAA